GUUUACAUAGUUUAGUGUUAGGAGAUCGCAAGGCUGUUAACCUUGAGAGGGUGUUUUGAGCCUGUAAACG
This 70-nucleotide transfer RNA is filed under the name Diplodiscus nigromaculati. Its description in RNAcentral is "tRNA-Asn". It matches the Rfam family "tRNA". From Rfam's summary of the family: Transfer RNA (tRNA) molecules are approximately 80 nucleotides in length. The record is from RNAcentral. Lineage: Eukaryota; Metazoa; Platyhelminthes; Trematoda; Plagiorchiida; Diplodiscidae.